UGGCCUGUUCUCCCUACUGGCCUCUGGCAAGAGGUUCCGCAGCAUAAAGAGCUGAACAACCAGAUUCUGCAACAGUUUCUUUCCCCAAAUCAUCAGACUGUUGAACCAGAAAUAACUUCUUCUCCUGAGCAAUGUGAACUCCACUCUAAGGACUCUUAAAUGUAUAUAUUUUAUACAGUGUAUAUAUGUUAUUUAUGAGUGAGUGAGUAGCAUUGCACACACACACACAAUAACACACACACAAUAACUUAGGAGCAAUAUAUGAUGUUCCUGCAAGAUCGCCACAAUAUUUUAGAUGCUCCUUUUAUCAUUUUGAGCACCUUGGUGCCAUCACUUGCACAUUAACAAGAAGAAAUUGAUUUCCAGUAAACUACUAAUCGUCCACAACGGUAGUACCAGCAAAUAAAUUCAAACUGACACUAUUUCCUCAGCGGUUCAACGUGGCAAUGACCCGAGCACGAGCCUUUCUGAUUGUGGUUGGAGACCCGAGACUCUUGAAAACUGACCAAAUCUGGAACAAGUAAGUCUUUAUGGCCUUAUCAGUAUUCUCUUUCAGUGGAGAAGGAUUGGUUGGACAAAUGCAUAUCUAACUCAGACAUGCCUCAUGCACUGACUUCUCUUUUUAGAUUCAUCCAUUACUGCUUCAAAGAAGGGGGUUACCGUGGUAUUUCAGUCUUUAAUGGAGAGGAAGAGGAAGAUACACUGACUAAUGUACACCGAGCCUUUGAUCUACAGCCCACGGUGGAGAGUGAUUCGGCAACAACUGGACCACGGUCGUAGAAACCAAAACACAAGCUGCAGUACUUAACAUAUAAAAGUAAGAAUAAGUCACUGACACUUGUUGACGACUGCGAAACGAAGGAAAACACUUUAUGGUUUGCUAAGAAUUGUCAUGGAACAAGAAAUGAUUUAUUUUCAAUUGACAUUUUACUACCUGGGACAUUGAGAUGACUCGACAUACAGUCAAUAGAUAUUUUUCUAUAUGUAGUAUUUCCCUCUUAUUUUUUUCAUACCCAAAUAAUUGUUAGAAUAAUCACAAAGAGAAGUAUGAUCAUAAGUCUGCCGAUGACUAAUUAUGAGCCUCCUGUUUAAGAACAGAGUCACAACUCAGUGUUUGUUCAUUUCAUCA
RNAcentral lists this long non-coding RNA (1129 nucleotides) under Cottoperca gobio. RNAcentral describes it as "lncRNA (ENSCGOG00000009779.1)". Lineage: Eukaryota; Metazoa; Chordata; Actinopteri; Perciformes; Bovichtidae. The record is from RNAcentral.